This is a long non-coding RNA of Pseudophryne corroboree (corroboree frog), 1288 nucleotides long. RefSeq lists it as uncharacterized. NCBI's taxonomy places the organism in Eukaryota, Metazoa, Chordata, Amphibia, Anura, Myobatrachidae. The record is from RefSeq and is a predicted model, not a curated record. The transcript has 2 exons.
AUCCACACUGAUUAGCUGCCACCAGCUGCUGCGCUGCCCGCUGUAGUGUACAGUAUAUUAGUAGCGCUGCGCCCGGCUCCUUCCCCGCCGGAGGCAGCGCUGCUAAUAUAGAUCACAGGCACAGCAGGCAGCGCUGGGCAAUCUGUGUCUGUGAAUCUCUCCUCCGUGUGCUGCUGUGCUCUGCUCCGCCCCCACCCUCCUCCUGCUCUGUACACUGACUUCCGGGUACAGGAGAGACGACGGCUGUUGCUGCUGCUGCUGCUUAUCACAGCAAGUGAAGUCUCUUCCUCCAUUCCCUCCCACCCCUCGUGCAAGUGCUGCUUAUAUUAAAAUGAAACCACAAACUGUUGAUGCAAAGUCGGUAACGGUUAGAAAACAAACAUCACAAGCUGGUAACCCUGCCUUUACUGCUCGUAAAAUAAAUGAAAUGAAAACGUCUGCUAUUGCUGUGCGUGCCUGCUGUACUCCUCAUAUGUCCUCUGAUACCACCCUUCAGAAUGUGACUGCGCUGUCAAUAUGAUAUAUUUGAAAGAACAGCAAACAAAAUGUUGGCUUUCACCGUGUCCCCCAAGUAUUGCUUCUUCAAAUAAAAACAAAUGACAUGAAGUUGGAAUUAUUGUAGCUAUAAUAAUCCGCAGACCACAGGGAACAGGGGCUUAAAGGAACUAACACAGAAAAAGUCAAAUUCCAAUGCAUGCCUUGCAGUUCUACAUACGGCCAUCCGCAUCCUGAUGGAUGUGUGUCAGCAUUGCGUCGUGUUUUACGCAAAGGUUCACGAUGUGUUUUCAUUUUUCACAGUUUCAUCAGUUCCAGCAGAUAAAGUGCUUAAUUUCUGAAUAUACCAAAGACGAUUUCUUUAUUGUUAUUAUGUGAAACCAAUUUCCUGCGUUCAGUUGUUUUAUUUAAAAACUGUUGUUGCAUUUUACACGUAUAUAUGUAUAUUUAAAAGUUUUUUUUAUCAAUAGACAUUGUGACAAUUUCUUAUCAUUAAAAAAAAUAAAAUAACAUGCUGUAUUUGUGUUGUUAGAGGAUUUACAUAUCUUGACUUUUAUGAUACAUAUAGUCACAUUUUUUUUUGUUGUUUUUUAGUUUACUGUAACUUUGCUGAAUUAGUCAGUGAUUGCAAUUUGAGUUAAGCUAAUAAGUAACUGAAGACUUCAUAAGAGUGUCAGCUCUUAGGACGUCACUUUUAGGCAAACCAGGUCAAGUAAUUUUUUGGCUUUGUUGUGAAUAACCCAAUUACAACACUUACAAUUACAAUAAAGUUUUGCCUUAAGAACCACUUAAA